This 169-nucleotide ribosomal RNA is filed under the name Cheilinus oxycephalus (snooty wrasse). RNAcentral's name for it is "partial 12S rRNA". RNAcentral also lists the same sequence under 1 other name. The record is from RNAcentral. Lineage: Eukaryota; Metazoa; Chordata; Actinopteri; Labriformes; Labridae.
CACCGCGGUUAUACGAGAGGCCCAAGUGGAUAGACUCCGGCAUAAAGUGUGGUUAAGGAUUAAACUAAACUAAAGCCGAAUACUUUCAGAGCUGUUAUACGCAAAUGAAAGAUUGAAGCCCAACCACGAAAGUGGCUUUAACAACCCUGACGCCACGGAAGCUACGGGA